GACGGUGUUGAUGGCGGUGAGGAUCCACCUGUACCCAUACCGAACACAGAAGUUAAGCUCACUUGCGUCGAAAAUACUUGGCUGGCGACGGCCUGGGAAAAUAGAUAGACGCCGUCA
This 117-nucleotide ribosomal RNA is filed under the name Massiliimalia timonensis. The record is from RNAcentral. Lineage: Bacteria; Bacillati; Bacillota; Clostridia; Eubacteriales; Oscillospiraceae.